This 290-nucleotide ribosomal RNA is filed under the name Escherichia coli. Its description in RNAcentral is "partial 16S ribosomal RNA". It matches the Rfam family "Bacterial small subunit ribosomal RNA", at positions 1 to 285 of the family's 1533-position model. Lineage: Bacteria; Pseudomonadati; Pseudomonadota; Gammaproteobacteria; Enterobacterales; Enterobacteriaceae. The record is from RNAcentral.
UUAAAUUGAAGAGUUUGAUCAUGGCUCAGAUUGAACGCUGGCGGCAGGCCUAACACAUGCAAGUCGAACGGUAACAGGAAGAAGCUUGCUUCUUUGCUGACGAGUGGCGGACGGGUGAGUAAUGUCUGGGAAACUGCCUGAUGGAGGGGGAUAACUACUGGAAACGGUAGCUAAUACCGCAUAACGUCGCAAGACCAAAGAGGGGGACCUUCGGGCCUCUUGCCAUCGGAUGUGCCCAGAUGGGAUUAGCUAGUAGGUGGGGUAACGGCUCACCUAGGCGACGAUCCCUA